Dermacentor albipictus is the source of this 325-nucleotide long non-coding RNA. RefSeq lists it as uncharacterized. NCBI's taxonomy places the organism in Eukaryota, Metazoa, Arthropoda, Arachnida, Ixodida, Ixodidae. The record is from RefSeq and is a predicted model, not a curated record.
AGCAUGGUCUGCUGAUGGUUGGGCGACACAGACGGACUUCUGCCGUCAGAGGAACGUCUUGGAAGAAACUGUAAAAGGAAACGACUAAGCUGGCAGGAAGACAACCGUCAUGUCGUGCCAUCUCAAGCAGUUAAGCAGCAUGCAGGCCGUGUAACUAUGACCAUGUGCAUCAAGACCGAGACUCAACGGGACCCGCUGAGUCAGCCUGCCGUGUUUCGCCUCGCUGGUUCAUUCUAAGCUCGCAAACUUGUGCUGUCGAGUGUUUUGACGGAUCCGACAGGCCAAUGCUAUCCCGGAAAGACUAUACAGCCCACUUUCAGCGGUC